RNAcentral lists this long non-coding RNA (211 nucleotides) under Phaseolus vulgaris (common bean). RNAcentral's name for it is "long non-coding RNA (PVUL_LNC001742)". The record is from RNAcentral. Lineage: Eukaryota; Viridiplantae; Streptophyta; Magnoliopsida; Fabales; Fabaceae.
CCAUUGUCCAUUGUAAAUUGUAGAAGUGCUUAUACGUUAAUCUUGGUAAAUAAGUAGAAUACUUGAGAGUUUAAAAUAUAUCCUGUCUUAUCUAGCAGGGUUAAAUGAAGAGGCAAGUAGAAAAACUUGUCUAUUUUAUUUCUUUUAUCAAACACUUAUCUUAACGACUAGAAUUUCUGGGAGGAGAGUUUUUCUUCCCAUGACCUCUUUG